This 234-nucleotide long non-coding RNA is filed under the name Aotus nancymaae (Ma's night monkey). Its description in RNAcentral is "lncRNA (ENSANAG00000039353.1)". Lineage: Eukaryota; Metazoa; Chordata; Mammalia; Primates; Aotidae. The record is from RNAcentral.
GCUGUUUAGAUGUGUGUGAGGCACGGAGCGACGUCCAGCAGACAAGGGCCUCUGGCCCAGAAGAAUGGCAUUUCUGGAUUGUCUGGACCCCCUGGAUCAUCUCCUCUGCUGAAGCACAAAGAGCCAGGCCUCCAGAGAAGGACUGCUUCAGUGCCCACCCUCAGAGUAUGAGGGUCGGAUGAGGAAAUUCGCCUGUGUAGGAUGCCAUCUGUCCCCUGAAUGUCUACAUGUCAU